Molecule: ribosomal RNA, 466 nt
Filed under: uncultured bacterium
Lineage: Bacteria
Description: bacterial SSU rRNA
Rfam family: Bacterial small subunit ribosomal RNA
Source: RNAcentral
GUCCAGACUCCUACGGGAGGCAGCAGUGAGGAAUAUUGGUCAAUGGGCGGAAGCCUGAACCAGCCAAGUCGCGUGAGGGAAUAAGGCCCUACGGGUCGUAAACCUCUUUUGCCGGGGAGCAAGGGCGGGGACGUGUCCCGGCCCGGAGAGUACCCGGAGAAAAAGCAUCGGCUAACUCCGUGCCAGCAGCCGCGGUAAUACGGAGGAUGCGAGCGUUAUCCGGAUUUAUUGGGUUUAAAGGGUGCGUAGGCGGGCUUUUAAGUCAGCGGUAAAAAUUCGGGGCUCAACCCCGUCCGGCCGUUGAAACUGGGGGCCUUGAGUGGGCGAGAAGAAGGUGGAAUGCGUGGUGUAGCGGUGAAAUGCAUAGAUAUCACACAGAACACCGAUUGCGAAGGCAUCUCACGAAUCCGCGAUUGACGCUGAUGCACGAAAGCGUGGGUAUCAAACAGGAUUAGAUACCCUAGUA